AGAGUUUGAUCCUGGCUCAGGAUGAACGCUGGCGGCGUGCUUAACACAUGCAAGUCGAACGAACCUUCGGGUUAGUGGCGGACGGGUGAGUAACGCGUGGGAAUCUGCCCUCAGGAGGGGGAUAACGGCUGGAAACGACCGCUAAUACCCCAUAUGCCGAGAGGUGAAAUGAAUUUCGCCUGAGGAUGAGCCCGCGUCUGAUUAGCUAGUUGGUGAGGUAAUGGCUCACCAAGGCUUCGAUCAGUAGCUGGUCUGAGAGGAUGAUCAGCCACACUGGGACUGAGACACGGCCCAGACUCCUACGGGAGGCAGCAGUGGGGAAUUUUCCGCAAUGGGCGAAAGCCUGACGGAGCAACGCCGCGUGAGGGAUGAAGGCCUCUGGGCUGUAAACCUCUUUUCUCAAGGAAGAAGAUCUGACGGUACUUGAGGAAUAAGCCACGGCUAAUUCCGUGCCAGCAGCCGCGGUAAUACGGGAGUGGCAAGCGUUAUCCGGAAUUAUUGGGCGUAAAGCGUCCGCAGGCGGCCCUUCAAGUCUGCUGUUAAAGCGUGGAGCUUAACUCCAUCAAGGCAGUGGAAACUGUUGGGCUUGAGUGUGGUAGGGGCAGAGGGAAUUCCCGGUGUAGCGGUGAAAUGCGUAGAUAUCGGGAAGAACACCAGUGGCGAAGGCGCUCUGCUGGGCCAUAACUGACGCUCAUGGACGAAAGCCAGGGGAGCGAAAGGGAUUAGAUACCCCUGUAGUCCUGGCCGUAAACGAUGAACACUAGGUGUCGGGGGAAUCGACCCCCUCGGUGUCGUAGCCAACGCGUUAAGUGUUCCGCCUGGGGAGUACGCACGCAAGUGUGAAACUCAAAGGAAUUGACGGGGGCCCGCACAAGCGGUGGAGUAUGUGGUUUAAUUCGAUGCAACGCGAAGAACCUUACCAGGGUUUGACAUCCUGCGAACCUCUAAGAAAUUGGAGGGUGCCUUCGGGAACGCAGUGACAGGUGGUGCAUGGCUGUCGUCAGCUCGUGUCGUGAGAUGUUGGGUUAAGUCCCGCAACGAGCGCAACCCACGUUUUUAGUUGCCAGCAUUCAGUUGGGCACUCUAGAGAGACCGCCGGUGAUAAACCGGAGGAAGGUGUGGAUGACGUCAAGUCAUCAUGCCCCUUACAUCCUGGGCUACACACGUACUACAAUGCUACGGACAAAGGGCAGCGAACUCGCGAGGGCAAGCAAAUCCCAUAAACCGUGGCUCAGUUCAGAUCGUAGGCUGCAACUCGCCUACGUGAAGCAGGAAUCGCUAGUAAUCGCAGGUCAGCAUACUGCGGUGAAUACGUUCCCGGGCCUUGUACACACCGCCCGUCACACCAUGGAAGUUGGCCACGCCCGAAGUCGUUACUCCAACCCUUGUGGAGGAGGACGCCGAAGGUGGGGCUGAUGACUGGGGUGAAGUCGUAACAAGGUAGCCGUACCGGAAGGUGCGGCUG
RNAcentral lists this ribosomal RNA (1465 nucleotides) under Prochlorococcus sp. AG-463-N15. RNAcentral's name for it is "bacterial SSU rRNA". It matches the Rfam family "Bacterial small subunit ribosomal RNA". Lineage: Bacteria; Bacillati; Cyanobacteriota; Cyanophyceae; Synechococcales; Prochlorococcaceae. The record is from RNAcentral.